GCCAUCGCUCAACGGAUAAAAGGUACUCCGGGGAUAACAGGCUUAUCACGCCCAAGAGUUCACAUCGACGGCGUGGUUUGGCACCUCGAUGUCGGCUCAGCACAUCCGGGGGCUGACGUCGGUCCCAAGGGUAUGGCUGUUCGCCAUUUAAAGUGGGACCCGAGCUGGGUUGAGAACUGCGUGAGACAGUCCGGUCCCUAUCUGCCGUGGGCGUUGGAUGCUUGACGCGGGCUGCUCCUCGUACGCGAGGACCGGAGUGGACGAACCUCUGGUGCUCGGGUUGUCACGCCAGUGGCAUUGCCCGGUAGCUAAGUUCGGAAUCGAUAAACGCUGAAAGCAUCUAAGCGUGAAGCGAGCCCUGAGAUGAGUCAUCCCUGAUACUUUAAGUAUCCUAAAGGGUUGUUGGAGACUACGACGUAGAUAGGUCAGGUGUGUAAGUGCUGCGAGGCAUUGAGCUAACUGAUACUAAUUGCCCGUGAGGCUUAACCAUACAACACCCAAGGGGUUU
RNAcentral lists this ribosomal RNA (508 nucleotides) under Aestuariibacter sp. Its description in RNAcentral is "partial 23S ribosomal RNA". It matches the Rfam family "Bacterial large subunit ribosomal RNA", at positions 2441 to 2925 of the family's 2925-position model. Lineage: Bacteria; Pseudomonadati; Pseudomonadota; Gammaproteobacteria; Alteromonadales; Alteromonadaceae. The record is from RNAcentral.